AUGGAGAAAGAAGUGGGGAAGAAGAUUAGUUUGCGAUCUCCUCAAACAAAUUCAGCCUUUCAGAAACUCUUUGGACUUCCACCCGAGGAAUUUCUCAUCAAUGAUUUCACCUGUCAUUUGAAAAUAAAAAUGCCCCUACAGGGUCGUAUAUUUGUUUCAGCAAGAAUAAUGGGAUUUCAUGCAAAUUUGUUUAGACACAAGACAAAAUUCUUUUUGCUUUGA
This is a non-coding RNA of Vicia faba (fava bean), 222 nucleotides long. Lineage: Eukaryota; Viridiplantae; Streptophyta; Magnoliopsida; Fabales; Fabaceae. The record is from the annotation of a GenBank genome assembly.